Long non-coding RNA from Orcinus orca (killer whale), 15144 nucleotides. RefSeq lists it as uncharacterized. The transcript has 4 exons. The record is from RefSeq and is a predicted model, not a curated record. NCBI's taxonomy places the organism in Eukaryota, Metazoa, Chordata, Mammalia, Artiodactyla, Delphinidae.
UUGUGCUUUCAGCAUAGGGCAGAGUUGUCUAACUCAUCCACUCCUUUCAGAGAGGAGAGAGCAAGCGCGCAUUUAUUCUUGAGGAUAUGAAACAAAGGAUGAUGAAACAAAAUGGAAUGAGAUGCAGGGAAACUAUUUAAAUGCGGGGUGGGGAGACGGAGCCACAACCAAAACCAGCUUCCGAGACCUGAAACCAGAAGGUGAGCCUCCUCAUGGCACCUUCCGCCCCUGCGUCCAGACGUCCUCCUGAGAAAGGACAGCCCACUUGCUGGCAGGGGCUCGUCGGGAACUACAGCUCCCAGCAGACACCGAGAGGGGACGCUGUGCCCCUAGGGCCCGUUCCAGAUUCCCAAAUAUGGAGAAGGACUGGGUUGGGGAAGAGGAACCGAAUGUUCCCCCUUGAGAGAGGGAGAGAGGGGGAGGAUGAGGUAAGUUUGGAAUAUUUAACUCUAUCACCUAAACGUCUGCCUGGGCUUUGAAAAGCAGCAGCCACAGUCAUGGCCUCAGUAAAUCUUUCUAGAAGAGCUCACCUUGAAAUCAGGCAGUUAUCUCAGCAGAGCCCUGUUUUCUCCUAAGAUUAGGUGUGUGCUGUUCUAGGAGGGCAGAUACCCUUUCUCUGAGUCCGACCAGCUCAGAAAGUGAUGUUGGCAGUGGCGGGAAAGGAAUCCAAGUGGAGGACAGCUCUGCUGCCAUGGGAGCGACAUUCCAGGGGCUGGGCUGGCAGCCGAGCCCAGGAUGAGCGGGGAGGGCAAGGGUUACUCUUUUCCUGCUGUGGAGGCUGCUAAGCCCGCCUGGUAGGAAAGGACUCUUUCCCGUUCUGUCUUCAUUGUGUCAACAAACAUUUCUAAAAGCACAUCCACUCGAGGUCCUGGGCUGGAUGCUGGGCAGGAUACGCAUCACCGAGACCAGAUCUCUGUCCUCAGGACGCUUUCUACAGGGGAGGACAGGCACACGAGGAAACAAUGCGAGGCGGUGUGUUUUUUGUUUGUUUGUUUUUUAUUUUUGGCUGUGUUGGGUCUUCAUUGCUGUGCGCGGGCUUUCCCUAGUUGCAGCGAGCGAGGGCUACUCUUCGUUGCGGUACGCGGUCUUCUCAUUGUGGUGGCUUGCUGUGGAGCACGGGCUCUAGGUGCGCGGACUUCAGUAGUUGUGGCACGUGGGCUCAGUAGUUGUGGCGCACGGGCUUAGUUGCUCUGUGGCAUGUGGGAUCUUCCUGGACCAGGGCUCGAAGCCGUGUCCCCUGCACUGGCAGGUGGAUUCUUAACCACUGCACCAUCAGGGAAGUCCCAGGUGGCGUGUUAUUUACACUGUUCAUCUAGCGUUGUUACCCAUCACCCACCAUGUGCCAGCCGCUUGGAAUCCGAUGGGAAAGACAGAAAAAGCAAAGCUUCUGCUCUCGUAGAUUUCCGUUCUGGUAGCCCUGGAUGUCGGGGGGACGAGUCCUCCAAGCAGCGGGAACAGCAGGUGCAGGGCCUUGAGAUGGACAUGAACUUGGUGAGUCUGAGAGUGACCAGUGGGGCUGAGGGGCCGGAUGAGGGUAAGAGCAGGAAGAAACAAGUAAGAGACCUGGGCCGGGUCGAGUCAUGCCUUCAGAGCUGUCUAAGGAUGAGAUGCGUGCAUUUCAUUCCAAUCCUAACAGAAGCCGUUGUUUCUGGGCAGUGGUUUGACAUCUGAGGUACAGUGCCAGACUUCCAAAGGAGUUUGGAGUGGCAAGGAGAGGUGUCCCUGAGCUGAGUGGGCAGGGAAGGGGAGCAGAGUGGGGAGACGAGCGUCACGGGGCAAACAGGAAGAUCUCCAGGAGCCAGGAUGGUACCUGGCGGGUUCCGAUCAGCAAUCUGCCGCAGCUGUGGUCGUGUGAGGGUAGCGGGUGGUGCGGCCGGAGGGGAGGAGAUUUACAGUCUCCACGUCAGAAGGCUCUGGAGCACAGUAAUGUGGACGCUAUUCUCAGGCUUCCGUGUCCAUUUGAGGACCUGGUCUCCUCCAGGCGCCGACAUCUGCCCCUGAAAGACUUGAUGCUAUGAAGGCUUUCGAGUCCCACGUUGAAAUUGAGGUGACUCCGAAGAGCACCGUUUACAUUGUGAAAGGCGCCCCAUCGAAUGACACAAGCCGCAGGCGGAAGGUUCCCUCGGGGCCGUGCACAGCGGAGGUGCUGGUCCGUGUUCUGGGGGACGGAGCGCCGAGUAGCCGCCGGGUGACUCGCAGUGCUUAGCGGCUUCCUUCACCACUAAGACGGAAGCCCCGCGAGCCGGCUGCAGAGCAGCAAGGGGAACGGGGUGCAGAGAACCGUGAGACAGGCGGAGGGUAAGAUGGAAAAGAGAGGGAUUGAAAGAGGAGGCCGGGGAGAGGCACUAAGAGGGGAGUAAAGGGUGGUGGGGGGUGGCUGGGCUCUCGGGAGCGCUGCCCCGGGUCUAGAAUCCCUCUCCUCCUGUGGUUGUCUCGGUGCCACUGGCCUGUGGGCCUCAGGACGGCGGCUGGCUGCCCAGCCGAGCCACACUCUGCUCCGGGGUCUGUCUCAUUAAGACCCCGCCCCUGAGACAGUCAGCCUGACCGCCAGUUCCUGGACAGCAGGACAAGCUGUACACCUACCUUAAGCGCCUCACCAGGGGUCUCGUCCUAAGUGUUCCCUUUCUACCUGAAUUUGGGGGAACCAUGGUGCUGUCCCAAUAGGUCAAAGCAGAAUAAACUCAAAGUGAAGGCCAUGCCCGGCCAUGCCCUCUUCUUCCCCAACCUCAGCAGGCAAACGGAAGGGCACUUGCCCGAGCAGGGGGCGGCAGGCUGCUGUGCGUGCGGCGGCUUCGGGGUGGGGGGGGGGCGGUCAUUUCACGUUCCCGGCAAUAGGAAGUGGCGGUCACACCAAGGCUCCGCCACCCACCAUGUGCCAGCCGCUUGGAAUCCGAUGGGAAAGACAGAAAUUUGACAGCAAAGCUGUCAGACACGGGAGGCCCAGCAGAGCCCACCGCGAGCCCAGACUCCAGCGGCGUCUCCUCCCCAGCCUCUCACGGGCCUCCAGCCCCCUGGUCGCUGCACGUGAGCAGGGCUGCCCCUUACUUCCGGCUGCACACCCACUCAGGAACAGGGGAGCAGCCAGACCUCAGCGUGGCGGUCUCCAUGUGCGUGUGCGGCAGGAAGCCUCGCCCCCCUAAGCUGCCCUGCGCCGCACCACGGGCCCGCUGCUCCCGAACCUGGGCUCUAGUACGGGCUGCAUACUUGGCGGGGGUCCGAGGCCCCCGGCGCACUGGGCCCCCAUCACCUCUGCAGGCAGUGGCCCGCAUCACCUCCGGGACCCGCCCCGCCUGCCUUCCCAGCCCUGCUCUCACGCCCAGCUCCAGGCCGCUCUCCUGACCCACCCUGCUCUCCCCAGACCUGGGCCUCUGAGCGGCUUACUCCCUCCUCUUGGGGUCCCCUUCUGGCUUCCUGGACAGGCUCACCCCCAGAGUUCAGCACAGUUAUCACCUCCUCUGGGAAGCUUCUCCUUGACCCCCCCCUUCUCAGGUAGAUUCAGUGCCUCCCUGCCUGUGUUCUUGUAGGGCCUGUACUUGCCUGUAUUGUAGCGGAUGAGCCAUCUGUUCACUUCAGAGAAGCCCCCUGUGAACAGCUAACUCCUUUAGGAUAGAAAGCUGUGUAUUUUACUUUUGUAUUUCCAACACCAAACCCAGUGAAGUGGUCGUGAAUGUUUGUUGAAUGAGUGAGUAGCCAGGAUCCCUUGGCCUAAUGAGUACCAAGGUCUCCUCCAGUGAGGUCUGAUAAAGAAGUAAGGCAGGACCUGGGUUUUCUGGGCCAAGUAACACUUCCCCUCCUGGAACCCUGGCUUCGCUGGCGCUCUCAGGGCCCCCUCUGCCUUCCCCGCUCCCACCCAGUCGUCACCCCCGCGUCGUGCCACCCUCUGCCCUGAGGUUCCCCUUCAGGACUUGUUUGGCCACGAAAAUACUAGUGCCUUUCCGCAUUACCAAGAAGAGGGCACCUGUGUCCAUGGUUGUCAGCUUUCCUUUCCCCCUCCUCCUAGAUCAGGAGCAUGUUGGCUGCUGGUACCUGUCCCAGACUGUGUCAGAUGGGGCCCCGUCCCCAUCCAUCCCAGCUCCCCACUGAAGCAGGGAGGGGCCACGAAACCUCAGCAACGGUCUAGAGGUGAGAAGUGAACUCAGUAUGAAAAAUAAGAUUUGUGCAAGCAAAGCACAGAGGUUGAGAUGAUCAGCAUUUAAGGGGAGGGGAGGCCUGGUGGGAUGCGGCUGGUCCUGUCCCGGAGAGCUCUUGCAGGCAGGUUGGGGAGCUGGGCUGGAAGGUCAAGGAAGUUAGGUGUCCACAGCAAGUGCUCCUGACGUGCUCAAGGUUUUAAUAGAUUUCCACCGCGGGGUGUCUGCUUGGGGUCAGGGUUGGGGGUGAGUGCGAGACCCCGGGAAGUCCUUCCUGCUCUGGAAUUCCAUGCUCAGGGAUGGCUGUGGACUUCCGGGGACCCGAGUUCCAUUCAUUGGAGCUAUUUUUGGUCUGCAGUAAGUUAGCCAGGCCGCGGGGCUGGGAAAGCGCUACCGCUGAAGGAGGUGAUUCACUGGGACAGGAUGCCCUGAGGCCACGUUGUGAGCCCCUGGGAUCCCAGAACAAGGGUCUCUAGUGUUUGGGACGCCCUGGGUUCAGGGGGUAAUCUCUGCAGGGCCUUCAGCAGAGAGAGGGCAGGGAGGGCCCUCAGAUGAAACGGCAGAGGCUUUUGAACUCCUUCUCCCAUACCUGACGUCAGCCCAUGAGCCAGGUUUAACUGCACAAACUAUCCCGCUGGGUGCUUAUUAGUAUCCCAUUUGACUGAGGCUCAGAAAGGUUAAGAAACUUGCCCGAGUUUACCAGGUAGCAAAUGCCAGAGCCAAAAUUCUAACCCAUAAAUCUGACAGCAAAGCAACUGCACCACAGCACUCCAUGCUUGAGGGCCCCUCCCAGAGGGACGGAGCCAGUGUGUCCCGGGGAGGGAGGGGGAUGCAUGGGAGAGGACUGAGCUCUCGGCGCCCAAGGGGCACACUGCGGCAUCCUGCGUUGUCCUUUCCUCCAACCCUUUCAUUCCAGCAGGGCCAGCGCUCAAAGGCUCUGCAGGAGAAGAGUUUGGACCUGAAGAGGUGUCCUGAGGUGGUGGACAGAGCUCUCGUCUGGGCAGGAGUGUCCUGGUUCUUUUUCUGGUUAAUGCAGGACAAGCUACUUACCCUCUGAUCCUCAGUUCCUUUAUCAAGGAAAGGCAGUGGGAUGGGAUAGAGGAAUUAGGAUGAGUAAAUGCCCACUGUACUGACCUCACUAAGUUACAAAGACAAAACGGAACCCUGAAUAAAUAAGUCACCAAAUAUAGUCAUGUUAUAAAAAUCCUAAGUUCUUAUCUAGUUGACUCUCCAGCUCAAAAUGUUUUGUAGAUAUAUUUUGGCGCUCAAAUGGCUCAGCCCAAGUCGUGAGGCGUCCUAGGGUUCUCUGUGAGUCUCUCUGGCCAAAUCACCCAAGGUCAUCAUCAAACCCUUGACUGGUUCCACUCUUGAGCAGCUGUUUACUUCUGACAUGAACAGCCUCAAUUCCACUUUCUGAAAAGUCAAAGAGCCCGGCUCUUUCUCCCCACUGGAACUUUGCAGAGUCCACGUCCAUAACUCGGAGUCCUUGGUCUGGUCACCCCCUUCAGCCCACGUCCAAAAGAGGCCACGGCUUGUCCACAUUGUAUCUUCACAGCUAACUCAGUGCACGGCACACAGCGGUGCUCGGCGAACUUUGAUGCAUACGUGAACUUUCCCCUGAUUUCUCCCCCCCAUCCCCACUGAUGUUUUCAUUGCCAUGGAGAUGGGGAUAUUUCUGACCUCAUCCUUUGGGAGUACCACAGAGAUUAGCUAAUUAAUAAGGUGGGGAGGGCGAAGCUCUCCUGGCACUUAGUGUUUAACCGAAAUGGCUGGGAGACAGUGGUGAAACCCCAGGGCCUUCUCAGAGCAUCGUGAAGACACACAGUGGGAGCCCUGACCCUUGAUGUUCGUUGCUCUGGGACCCUCCUCUCUUCUCUUGGCAGGUGUUCCCCCAGCGUCCAUCCUGGAGGCUGACCCCGCUACCAACUCCCCUGCACAGUGCCCCUCCCUCAGGGGAUCCUUCCUGCAGCUGUGCAACAGCUGGAGCCUUUGGGAGCCCCGCAGGGUCCAGAGGCCACAGUCACCUGCUGCCAAAGUCACCCCCCCGCACCCCCCACUUUCCCGUUUCCCAGAUCAGGUGGGCGGGGGUGGGGGACACGGGUCCAAGGGUAUGAGGAAGGGCAGUUUACUUGGCUUUCCCCCGUGAUAGAAAAGUGGAUUGGAAUGGCCACUGGCAGUGAAUAAACCAGAGCAAAAGACCCAUGCCAGCUGGUGACCACUGGAAAAAAGCAGCAAAUUCAUGAAUUACCCUAUUUACACCAGAAAUAAACUAAUAGUUUGGACCUUUGCUUGAUAGGUUGUGCUGGAAUUAUAGGCCGUUCAUGAAGACACAUGGGUGAAGCUGGUUUCCACCCCUCCUUACUCAUUGACGGCUUUGGCACCAAACCCUAAUGUUCCACUCCACCAAGCCUUGCUGGCAUCCUGGGUAAUCAGUGUCAGACAGACCAACCGUUUACAAACUGGGAAUCGCAACCCAUUAGUGUGUCAGGAAACUGAUCUGGAGGAUUGUGACUAGAUUCUUUUUUUUUUUUUAAGAAACAGUAUAGAAAUAAAAUAUCAGAGUACUUCACAUGUAGGAAGGGUAGUUUGGGGGUAAAAUGUUUAUUUCAAAGACAUGUAUGUUAUUAUAUGAUAACAUAUACUAAUAACAUAUUAUUUCAGUAACAUAAUACAUGUGUACUAGGUCAUGACAUCGAAUACACUUUUUAUUAUGGACCAUAGUCAGAAGUUUAAAAGGGAUAAGAGUAUGUAUAAAGGAAUACUAUUCAGCCUUAAAAGGAAAGGAAAGUCUCACACAGGCUACACUGUGGAUGAACCUCGAGGACAUUGUGCUCAGGGAAAUAAGUGAGUGGCGAAAGGACAGAUGCUGUGAGACCCCAUUUAUAAGAGGAGCUUAAAUAGUCACAUUCAUAGAGACAGAACGGACAGAGGUGGUUGCCAGGGUCCAGAUGGGGGGCAGGGAGUGGGGAGUUCGUGUUCAGCGGGAACAGAGUUUCAGUGUUUUGUUUUUUGUUUUGUUUUAUUUAUUUAUUUGGCUGUGCCGGGUCUUAGUUGUAGCAGGCGGGAUCUUAGUUCCCUGACCAGAGUUAGAAGCCGGGCCCCCUGCAUUGGGAGCGCAGAGCCUUAGCCACUGGACCACCAGGGAAGUCCCCAGAGUUUCACUUUUGACGAUGACACAUCCCAUGGACGCCGCCAGCCGUGGUGGUAGCACAACACAGGGGAAUGUGCUGGCACGCGAUACACUCAUUGCUCUCAGUACACUUCCAGUGAUCAUGAGGGUAGAUUUUAUGUUUUGUGUGUUUCACCACAGUUUUUUAAGAAGCUGCAGGGGAAGCCUCCUGGGUCCUCACUGUCAGUGACAUCACCCCCACUCACUCCCAGCUCCCUUUCUCCAGGGCCGUCCCCAGGAACCGUUCACCGCCCACCCGCUGACCUAGGCCUCCUGCCUUUCCUGCUUCCUCCCCUUCUGAAACCCGCUGUGCCCGCGCCCCCAGCUCACAGCAUCAUGUAAGCCCCUGGUCACCCAGCUCUUCUGGUCGGGCCACCUUCACUCCUUCCCGGUCUUCGUGAGGGCCCUGCCCUCCACUCAUCCCCCGGAACUGCACCAAGAGUGAGGUGUCUGCAUUUCAGUCUGAUCUUCACGCUUCCCCACUUGAACCCCCAAUGGCUCUCUGUUGCUCUGAGGGAAGCCGUUGGCCGGGCAGAGAAGCCAGCUGGACGUCGCUCCUGGCUAACCUGCACACCGCCCGCCCAUCCUCCUUUAACUGUACUUGCAGUUCCCCGAGUUCGCCCAGCUUUCCUUUGCUUCUGAGUCUUGGCCUGGGGUCUUCCCCACCUCACUUGUUCUGUACACGCCCAAGUCCUAUCACUCGAGCCUGGGUUGGCACCCAGCCCCUCUGAGAAGUUUCCCUCUGCCCUCGUAAGGCCAGAUCUGGGGCCCUUGAGUGAGUGAGGUCGGAUCAGAGCACUUAUUGUGCGGCAUAGCAGUUCCUUGUGUGAGUCUCCUCUCCUGACUGUCCUCUGUGCCCUCCUGAGGCCGGCGCUGCACCCGAUCCCUCCCUGCGUCCCUGGGCCUGCCACGCUGACUGCCCCACGGUGGACACUCUCUGAGGGGUGAGUGGGUAGGCACAGGAGGAUGUUCGAAUGUAUGGAUUUUCACAGGUUUUGAAAUUCAAAUCUGGGAAUCAGUUUUGGUCAACACUUUCAGCUGGAAAUACCUUUGAUCAAGGUCUAAAGAAUGAUUUAUCCAAAUUAGUAACAGUUGCUAUAUUUGUGUAACAUUGAACAUCCUAUAGAACACUGUCAUUUCUUUUUCUUAUUUGACACAAUAACUUAAGUAAGAAGGAAGGCCUUUGUCAUCACACAUGGCACGUGAGGAAGCUGUGGGUUGUCCAAGGUCAGCAAGUUAGUCAAUGGCAAAGGCAGGACAAGGGCUUACAUCCCUCCCACUCACUUUACCAUGAUCCCUUUAACUUUCAGAAAUGAAAAGAAUCAGAGUAAUUAGUCCUAAAAUCAGGACGUUUCAGAGAACAGGGAGUAUAUAUUUUCUGGCCUUUAUAGGGUCCUACUAAGGUCCCAGUUCACAGGUCCUUAGUAAAUAUGAACUAGCUCCACUCUGGCAAAACCAUCCCUGCUGUGCCUUGCUUCUUCUACAUUUUCCAGAAAAAGAAACAAAACCAAGCCCCCUAAGGACUGCUGUCCAACAACGUACUGGGAUUUUUUCCUUGUAUUCGCUCUACAUCUCUGUGUUGCAAAAUCAAGCCCAGUUUCUUUUAUUUGAUUCUCAGCAGUGAGAAUAUUAUUUGUACCCCAUCUGCAUCCAAAAAGUUAGAAAAAAGAAAAGAGUUUAUCACUCAUCCCCAUAAAAUAACCUCUUCCUCUGCCCUUCCUAGUCCAAGGUAAACAGUUCUAACUGCAUUUGGCAAAGGAUCUAUUUUCCAGUCACUUUAUUUUUUUCUUAUACGGACACUACCAAUUGUUCCCAGUCUCUUUUUUACUUUUAAAGCCAACACUGGACAUCGGUCACUAGUAAGAUCUGGUUAAAGCCAAGAAUAGUGAGAGGAUGACUUCAAGGACAUUGGGCCACUUUAGAGCAUCUCAGGCACACAAAUCCAGCUGCUGUGCGCACAGGGCAAGUACAGAAAGAUCAACCAAGGCGGCAGAAAGCCCUCCCUCCUCCUGCACAGGCACCACGGCCGCUCUCCCCUCUGUCUAGGUCAGUUAAGUACUGAUAACUGUCUUUUGCAAAGGAAAAGUGACCAAAGCCUGAAGCUCUGAUUUCAGGGACAUUGAGAAGGUCCUGGUCUAUGUAAUCACAAGUCCUGGAGUUUUCAGAAUUAUCCCGACUUCAGAAACAACAUUAAAUGACCCUAGAAGUUGCAACAUUUCUAUUUCUGAAUUAUACCUAAGAAGAAGCUUCUUACAUCUAAAAUCAAUUAUAAAAAAGAUCUUUUGGUGGACAAUGUGUCCGAAUUUUUUUUUUUUUUUUUUUUUUUUUUUUUUUGCGGUACGCGGGCCUCUCGCUGUUGUGGCCUCUCCCGUUGCGGAGCACAGGCUCCGGACGCGCAGGCUCAGCGACCAUGGCUCACGGGCCCAGCCGCUCCGCGGCAUGUGGGAUCUUCCCGGACUGGGGCACGAACCUGCGUCCCCUGCAUCGGCAGGCGGACUUUUAACCACUGCACCACCAGGGAAGCCCAAUGUCCGAAUUUUUUAUGUGAAAAGAUAGUCAAUAAAUCCAAGUUUCUCACAAAGCAGCAUCGUCCUGCUCGCCCCAGCCUACAACUCCACGACUAGAGCUUCAUUCCUUUUUACUGUAAGGCGUUGCCAGGGCUAUUAGUGGGCAAAUAUCCCCAUGAGAGAUGCUAUUUUAUAAACUUUUAUCAGACAUAACUUAGAGGGAAUGUGUCUUAGAUUCUUUGCUGAAAGCAAAGUUUUGAUCAGGAGAGAGGAAGGCAAGAGCUAAGAUUAAGGUGAUGUUGUUCAACCAUUUUGUUAUUAUCACAUCUUAAAGAGUGUUUUUUAGUAUCUUUUUUCUGAUUGACACUCCCCCAAAGAAAUUUUAAUACUAUAGAUACACUGUAUAUCUGUUUGUGUGUGGUGUGAAUAUCAGUGCUUUAUACAUAAAAAUACUAAGGUGUUUUUCAGACCCUAACCUGAGAACCAGUCCCCCUGCUUGGGGGCAACAGCGCCCGUGAGCAUGCGUCUGGAGAAGCCACCACCCACAAGGGAAACACGAGUUUGGCUAAGAAGUUGCGGCACCUGAGCCAAGCUCCUUGGGCAGAGCUGCUUGGCCGGUCCGACCAUGCUGCCCCCUGCAUCCCAGACUGCAGGGCCAGGAUUCAGCCCGCGCAGCCUCCCUGGCUCCCAGGGUCUCGUUCUUCCAGCCCUGACAGGACCCAGGGUAACAGCCCCUGAGCAGGACAGAAUGUUGCUGGGCAUGUAGAUUCCCAGGCGACAUGGGUUCACUACGGACGCAGAGGUGUUAGUUCACAGGGCUGCAGGGAUGGGCUGCACUCUCCACCCUGUGGCGGCUGAAGGGAGGGCCUGGCACCAUGGAACACGUGACUGGCAGAAAGGGGGAAGGAGUACCAAGGCCCCCUCCCUGGAGGCAACAAGACACUGCUAAGAAAAACCAUCGCCAAGUGCUCACCAGAGCCAAUGGUGUCUUUUUUUUUUUUUUAAUUCUAGUUACUGCCUUGGUAACUGGAAAUUCCAAACUGUCUGAUUUUAAAAGAGCCCGAAAGAUGAAAGAUGAGAAGAAAAACAGAGGAAUUAGAAAUCUGAGGCAGCAAAGAGCAGCAGAUAAAAAGUUGCCCCCCGACAGAUGCAGAUCUGGACAAAGAGAAAGUAAACAAGAUAACCCCAGCUAGGGUUGUCCAAGGAAACAAGAAAGGUUUCUAUAAAUAUAACCAGAAAAAAAAUAUUUGUCUUAGCUGAUGAGAUCACCACACAUGGCUCAUGAUAGGGAUCUUUUGUUGCUCCCUUAAUUGAAGAUUGGAGGAGAACAAAACUGAGGCAGAACUCAGACUACUGGCCACAAGGCCUGGGUUCCAGCAAGCAGGCUCAGUUUUAAUUAAAUGCAGCUGGAGUCAUUAAGACGUGAUGCCAUCGAUCUGGACUGUGGCCUGUAUUUUCACUGACGUGCUGGCCCCGACGCCCAGCAACAAACAGGCUGGCGGCUUCUCCACACCCUGCAAAUGGGGUCAAACACAAGAGGAAGCAUGUGGCCCUGGACGCAGAUCUAGGGGCGAGAGAGGCUUCCCAGGGACCCCUUCGUCUCUGCAGGGGUCACUGUGUGGGACCAGAGCAGGAGGGGAGCUGGAAUCCCUCCAGAUGUCCACCCCGCUAGGGGCCAAGCCGCAUUCCAGGCUGGGACUGUGGCAGUGAACGGGGCAGGUCCCCACCUCGAGGAACUUCCACUUGGAGCAGGGGUGGGAAAUGGGGGCAGCGGGAGACAGACAACACAGUGAUUAUGCCAGGUAAUUUCCCAUGCUGACAGGUGCUUGGGGACAGAACAUGAAGCGAGGCGGGGUGAUGGGAGGGACCCAUUAGCUCAGGAGGUGAGGCGGGGUGAUGGGAGGGGCCCACGAGCUCAGGAGGUGAGGCUGGGUGAUGGGAGGGGCCCACUAGCUCAGGAGGUAGGGCAGGCCUGUCUGAGCAGGUGUUGCCACCUGGAAGGUGAGGAGGCCACCGAGUCCCAGGGUGAGUGUUUCCAUGGAGGGAAAGUCUCUGAGUCAGGAAAGUACUCGGCAUGUUGAGACAACAUACGGAAGGCCAGUAGGGCAGUAUCCUGUAGACCACGGGAGAAGGGGCAGGUGCCCGCAAAUGCAGACAGGGCCAGUUUUGUAGGGCCUGGUAGGACACGGGCAGGGAUUUGAAGUCUGGAGAAUUUUUAGGGGAAGAGCGCUAUGAUGCAGUAUCUGUCUAUUUUAGAAAGAUCACUAGGGCUCAUGUGGAGGACGGACCCGGCCAGAGGGGGCCAAGAAUGGAGAUGGGAAGAUAGGGACCGUGGUCUGAGGAACAGAGAGAGCCGUGGUGGUUUAGAUGUGGUGGAGGUGGUGAAGUAGUUAGCUGUGGUACUUCAUGCAAUGCAUUUUGAAGGUGAAACGGAGAGGGGUAUUCAUAGAGAAAGCAGAGUUAAGGAUGACUCGUAGGUUUUGUCCUGAGCAACAGAGUAAAUAGUGGUUUCACUCAAUAAGAUGGAGAAGACAAGGAAAUCAGUGGGUUUGGAGUGGGAAGCAGUCCACUCAGUUAAGUCUGAGAUGCCUGCUCUUAUUCUCUCUUGGACUCCAAGAGAGUUUGGUGAGACUUAUGCCUCAGUUUCCUCAUUUUGAAAUACAGUAGCACUGACUACAUUAUAGGGUUGGCGUGAAGAGUAAAUGAGUUAAUAUGUAUGCAGUGGUUAGGAGAGUUCCUGGCACACAGUCAGCAGCAAGAUAGACGUGUUUAGUAUUAAUAUUAAGGCAAUUUUUUCUCUUUAAUUGCAAAUAAUGAGGGGAGGAGAAGGGGCAAAUAAUUGAAAAUUUGUGAGAGAAAGGGAAGAAGCAAGGUGAAGAGCUUGUGGAAACACGGGAUGGUUCCCGGAGUCCCGGUAGAAGGCUGACCUCAGAUAGAACAGGGGCACGUGUGCAGCUGAAGCUGGGACCCCCGCCCACGUGGCACAGAUGCAUCCGGACGCAGGGGCGGCGGUGGGAGGUGACGGCUCUCCUCUGGCCACACCGUUUUCUCCACGAAGCAUGGGGCAGGGGCCUCAUCUGGUGUGAAGGGCAGGGAAGGGAGACUCAGAGUGAGGGUCAGGAGUAUGAGAUGGUUUCUGCAGAGGCGGAGGAUGGGCUCACUAGGAGGGCAUAGCCUGGCAGGUGGGAGAAGCACGAGCAUCUCAAACAGCCUCACGCAGCACAAGGCUGGUGUGCUGCCCGUUCCAGGUAUUUAUUCUCAGCUGAGCAGGUGUUUGGUGAGUAGCUGCUGUGUGUCUGGUGCUGGGCUGCAUGCUCGUAAAGGGGGUAAAGAGGGGGACAAGGUUUGUGCAGUCUGGAUGAAGAGAAAGGUUUUAGGUGAAAAGAAAUAACUGGAGGACAAAUGUAGUUCAAUCUGGAGCCAAAAGACCAAACCACAGAAAACCGUGCUGCCAAAUUCAGGGUAAUGGAAUGUGUGUGUGCCGGGCCCGUAAGGAUGGCCUCCCAGGGGAAGUGGAUACGAGCUCGGAACUCACUCAGCCACCCCCAAACCGGAGGCCGCUGCUGCCUGUCAUCCCUGGACCUCUGAACCGUCUGUCAUAAAUAUUCCGCAAGACGGCUCUAAUAAGGUACAGCUGACUCACCUGCUUUGUCUGAGGGCCCAUCUGACGUCAUCAGUAGAAACAGUAGCAGAAGCCUACAGCGGGCUUCUGCUAGGUUUCCUUUGGGGGUGUGGUUGGGUGGGGAGUGUGCCUUCUGAAACAAGAAAACGUCUCCUUCCGUCUUAACUGGCUCUCCUCUCCCUGACACCAUCAUUUGCAGUGCAUGUGGUGGAGAGCAAACUGGGAAAGAUUCUGGCAGGAAGAUAACCAGAAAGGUCACGCUUGAAGUGCAGCCACAUCCUUCUCCCCUGGCGUUGGGACCCAAUUCUUCCUGUUGCUGCACCAUGGAACAGUCUGUUUUGUUAUCAAGAAUUGUCAACCUCGUCCAGCUCUGAGGCCAGACUUCCUCUGAGGCCCUGGGACCUCCCCCAGCAAAGGGUCCCCACGAGCCUCUACUGCCUCCUGUAAACGGGCUUAGGAGGGGCGGGAGAAACUCACGGCUAAACCCCAAGAUGUGCCCCUCAGUGUGUUCCAGGCAGGAGGAGCCAAGACUUGAUCUGCGCUGGCAAAGUUAUUUUUUAAACUGGAAUUGCUGGUAAGGCUGCUUCCCUAAAAGGCAACUCAAAUCCUGUCUCCUGCUCUCCCUUUCCUGGAGCUGUGGCUCUCUGCCAUCAUGCUGCUGCCGAGGCUUCUCCAGACUCUCUAAGGGACGGGGCUCUUCUGGUCCACUCUCCCCGUCUCCAUCCCUUAUCGCCCCACUCAGCCACCCGCAGCCCGUCCAGGAUAAAACCGAAUGUUUGGGAAGUUCUCCCAGUAAUGCCCUAUAAAGUGAAAUACACCUAAAUUGCACACGGUGCAGCCCACCGUCCACACCUCCAGACCCUGGGGCGGCACAGGGCCUCCUAGCGUCACUUCCCGAAAGGCUUAGGCCCAGCCCAGGCCACUUCAGAACCUGCACCUCUGUGGUCUGACCUCAUCUUGGGCUGUUGCUGUCUAUCAGAUCUCUUGGAAGUCAGAUGACGCUGGUUAUCCUGCCUGCGUCCUCCUGAUGUUUAUGACUCGCUCAGAGUAGAGAAGGUGUCACAGCCUAUGAGGAAGAUAGGUUCAUAGGGGACCCGGAUCUCAUUUGCCCUGAUUUGUGAACUGGAAGGAGAGAGGCCCGUGAGGCUUCUGUGGGUCUGCACGCGGGGCCUCACCUGUGAAGCUGCACCUGGCCACCUUCCUCACUCUACAUGCUGCCUUCCUUGCCAUCUCUGCCGGCGCCCUCAAGGUGACGUCUUAGGCCAAGGGGUGGUAGCAAGAAACAAGAGUGGAUUAAAAAACCCCAUGAAAAUGAAGCGAUGAAACACCUGGAAUACGAGAGAGGACAAGCAGGGGAUCCAUGCAAGGCGAUGUAAUAAGAUGGACCAGGUUGGAGAGUUGAGAAGGGAGACGGUUGAAAAAAAACAAAAGCAGGGCUUCCCUGGUGGCGCAGCGGUUGGGCGUCCGCCUGCCGAUGCAGGGGACGCGGGUUCGUGCCCCGGUUCAGGAGGAUGCCGUGGAGCGGCUGGGCCCGUGAGCCAUGGCCGCUGGGCCUGCACGUCCGGAGCCUGUGCUCCGCAACGGGAGAGGCCACAGCAGUGAGAGGCCCGCGUACCGAAACAACAACAACAACAAGAAAAAAAGCAGAAUCUUUCAUGACACAGGAAAUUAUGUGAAAUUCAAUUUCACUGUCCAUAAAUAAAGCUUUAUUGGAACACA